Adelges cooleyi (spruce gall adelgid) is the source of this 1118-nucleotide long non-coding RNA. RefSeq lists it as uncharacterized. NCBI's taxonomy places the organism in Eukaryota, Metazoa, Arthropoda, Insecta, Hemiptera, Adelgidae. The record is from RefSeq and is a predicted model, not a curated record. The transcript has 3 exons.
UUGCGUAGAAGUAAAAAAGAGUAUUUAAUGUCAUAACCUAUAAUUAAUAAUGCUUUUAUUUUCGUUUUAAAAUCAAUUAAAUACUUCGUCGAAGUGUAAAUUAUUUUGUUACAUCUACAACAAAUGUUAUUAUAAAUGAUAAUGUUAAUAUAACUAUUAGUAUGCAUUUUAAUGUUAUGUCUUUUAUAACGAUUUAAAAAUAUUGUUCCUAGAACGAAACGGUUAUAACGUUCUAAAAAGGCAUAACAAGUACAAACCCAGUUAAGUUACCGCACUCGUACUAUUAUAAUUUUCAUUUGUAUCAAUAUUUAUUACCUAGUUUUUAAAAAAAUUAUGUAAAUUUUGAGUUUUUAAUCUCUGAUUUCCAUUAACGUAAAAUGAAUUGAAGACAUGUUUUUAUUUUAUUACACCUAUGAUAGUAAUUUAAGAACCAACUUGAGCUGUAAUUAUUAUUGUAAAUGAUAAACAAUAGCUUCACACAUACUGUACAGCGCAUAAUUGCUUGUAAACAAGUAAACCGACUUAAUGUAACGCAAUUACCUUUGUUCAAAAAUAUAUACAUGUUUAUAAUUUAAUUUGUCACACACAUUAAAUGUUCAUAAUAUUAAAGAAUAGUAUUAUAAUUUACCUUUUAAGUCCAUGGAAAACUUCGUUUAGUGACAUAUUCUAUUACCACUAUAGUAUACAGGUAAAAUAUUUUAUGAUAUAUUAUUAUUGUUCGAUUAUUUGUUAUAACUAAAUAAAAAAUAAAAUGUUUAACAUGAAAUAUAUUUGGCUUUUAACCGUUUUGAUUUCAGUGUUUUAUACAUUACAAAGAGUUAAUGGAAGUGAACAAGAAAAACCGAAAGAAAACGAUCAAAAGGAACAUAAUAUCGUUCAAGGAAAUGAAAACAACACGGGUAAUAUAGAACAUCAUGGAGAGUCAGCAAAUAAACAUUCUUUACUAAACGGCGGACUUUUAACUAGGACCAUAGAUGUAAUGAAACGGAUGGUACAUAACACAAAGUUGGCAGUGGAAAAAAUUAUGCAUUGUAUCUUGUAAUAUUAUAACUUGUACAAAGAACAUUGAUAGUACAAUACAAUUAUUAAUCGAAUAAAAGCAAUAUACAUUUUAUGUA